Molecule: ribosomal RNA, 498 nt
Filed under: uncultured bacterium
Lineage: Bacteria
Description: partial 16S ribosomal RNA
Rfam family: Bacterial small subunit ribosomal RNA
Source: RNAcentral
AUUGAACGCUGGCGGCAUGCCUUACACAUGCAAGUCGAACGGUUAUAGGUCUUCGGAAGCUGACGAGUGGCGAACGGGUGAGUAAUACCUCGGAACGUGCCUAGUAGUGGGGGAUAACUACUCGAAAGAGUGGCUAAUACUGCAUGAGAUCUACGGAUGAAAGCAGGGGACCGGAAAACCUUGUGCUACUAGAGCGGCCGGCGGAAGAUUAGGAAGUUGGUGGGAUAAAAGCUUACCAAGCCGACGAUCUGUAGCUGGUCUAAGAGGACGAUCAGCAACACUGAGACUAGGACACGGCCCAAACUCCUACGGGAGGCAGCAGUGGGAAAUUUUGGACAAUGGGCGAAAGCCUGAUCCAGCAAUGCCGCGUGCAGGAGAAAGGCCUUCGGGUUGUAAACUGCUUUUGUACGGAACGAAAAGCCCCGGUUGAAUACCCUGGGGUCAUGACGGUACCGUAAGAAUAAGCACCGGCUAACUACGUGCCAGCCGCCGCCGUAA